AUCGGGCGGUUCCCCUUCGGGGGACAGGGUGACAGGUGGUGCAUGGUUGUCGUCAGCUCGUGUCGUGAGAUGUUGGGUUAAGUCCCGCAACGAGCGCAACCCUCGACCUUAGUUGCCAGCAUUCAGUUGGGCACUCUAAGGUGACUGCCGGCUAAAAGUCGGAGGAAGGUGGGGAUGACGUCAAAUCAUCAUGCCCCUUAUGACCUGGGCUACACACGUGCUACAAUGGGCGGUACAAAGGGUCGCGAACCCGCGAGGGGGAGCCAAUCCCAAAAAGCCGCUCUCAGUUCGGACUGCAGGCUGCAACUCGCCUGCAUGAAGCCGGAAUCGCUAGUAAUCGCGGAUCAGCAUGCCGCGGUGAAUACGUUCCCGGGCCUU
This 378-nucleotide ribosomal RNA is filed under the name uncultured Anoxybacillus sp. RNAcentral describes it as "bacterial SSU rRNA". It matches the Rfam family "Bacterial small subunit ribosomal RNA", at positions 1004 to 1382 of the family's 1533-position model. Lineage: Bacteria; Bacillati; Bacillota; Bacilli; Caryophanales; Anoxybacillaceae. The record is from RNAcentral.